CCUACGGGUGGCAGCAGUGAGGAAUAUUGGUCAAUGGUCGGGAGCCUGAACCAGCCAAGCCGCGUGAGGGAUGAAGGUACAGAGUAUCGUAAACCUCUUUUGUCAGGGAACAAAGUCGGGUACGUGUCCCCGGAUGAGUGUACCUGAAGAAAAAGCAUCGGCUAACUCCGUGCCAGCAGCCGCGGUAAUACGGAGGAUGCGAGCGUUAUCCGGAUUUAUUGGGUUUAAAGGGUGCGCAGGCGGUCUGUUAAGUCAGCGGUCAAAGCCCGGGGCUCAACCCCGGCCCCGCCGUUGAAACUGGCAGCCUCGAGUUGGAGAGAAGUAGGCGGAAUGCGCGGUGUAGCGGUGAAAUGCUUAGAUAUCGCGCAGAACUCCGAUUGCGAAGGCAGCAUGCCGGAUCCACACUGACGCUGAGGCACGAAAGCGUGGGUAUCGAACAGGAUUAGAUACCCGGGUAGUC
Molecule: ribosomal RNA, 460 nt
Filed under: uncultured bacterium
Lineage: Bacteria
Description: partial 16S ribosomal RNA
Rfam family: Bacterial small subunit ribosomal RNA
Source: RNAcentral